UACAGAGGGUGCGAGCGUUAAUCGGACUUACUGGGCGUAAAGGGCGCGUAGGUGGUUAUAUAAGUCAGUUGUGAAAGGCCUGGGCUUAACCGAGGAAUUGCAAUUGAAACUGUGUGACUAGAGUUGAGUAGAGGGGAGCGGAAUUUCCGGUGUAGCGGUGAAAUGCGUAGAUAUCGGAAGGAACACCAGUUGCGAAGGCGGCUCUCUGGACUCAAACUGACGCUGAGGCGCGAAAGCGUGGGUAGCGAACAGG
Molecule: ribosomal RNA, 253 nt
Filed under: uncultured bacterium
Lineage: Bacteria
Description: partial 16S ribosomal RNA
Rfam family: Bacterial small subunit ribosomal RNA
Source: RNAcentral